RNAcentral lists this ribosomal RNA (253 nucleotides) under uncultured Aquicella sp. RNAcentral's name for it is "partial 16S ribosomal RNA". It matches the Rfam family "Bacterial small subunit ribosomal RNA", at positions 524 to 776 of the family's 1533-position model. The record is from RNAcentral. Lineage: Bacteria; Pseudomonadati; Pseudomonadota; Gammaproteobacteria; Legionellales; Coxiellaceae.
UACAGAGGGUGCGAGCGUUAAUCGGAGUUACUGGGCGUAAAGGGCGCGUAGGCGGUACGAUGUGUGUGAUGUGAAAGCCCCGGGCUUAACCUGGGAAGUGCAUCGCAAACUAUCGAACUGGAGUAUAUGAGAGGGUGGCGGAAUUUCCGGUGUAGCGGUGAAAUGCGUAGAGAUCGGAAGGAACGUCAAUGGCGAAGGCAGCCACCUGGCAUAAUACUGACGCUGAGGCGCGAAAGCGUGGGGAGCGAACAGG